AUUGAACGCUGGCGGCAGGCCUAACACAUUCAAGUCGAGCGAGCGGCGGACGGGUGAGUAAUGUAUGGGGACUGCCCGAUCGAGGGGGAUAACUACUGGAAACGGUAGCUAAUACCGCAUACUAUCGGAUAACCCAUAUGGGAUUAGCUAGUAGGUGAGGUAAUGGCGCCCCUAGGCGACGAUCCCUAGCUGGUCUGAGAGGAUGAUCAGCCACACUGGGACUGAGACACGGCCCAGACUCCUACGGAGGAAGCAGAGGGGAAUAUUGGACAAUGGGCGCAAGCCUGAUGCAGCCAUGCCGCGUGGAGGAAGAAGGCCCUAGGGUUUGAAAGUACUUUCAGUCGGGAGGCGUUACCGACAGAAGAAGCACCGGCUAACUCCGUGCCAGCAGCCGCGGUAAUUC
RNAcentral lists this ribosomal RNA (403 nucleotides) under uncultured bacterium. RNAcentral describes it as "partial 16S ribosomal RNA". It matches the Rfam family "Bacterial small subunit ribosomal RNA", at positions 30 to 526 of the family's 1533-position model. The record is from RNAcentral.